This 253-nucleotide ribosomal RNA is filed under the name uncultured bacterium. RNAcentral describes it as "partial 16S ribosomal RNA". It matches the Rfam family "Bacterial small subunit ribosomal RNA", at positions 524 to 776 of the family's 1533-position model. The record is from RNAcentral.
UACGGAGGGGGCUAGCGUUGUUCGGAAUUACUGGGCGUAAAGCGCGCGUAGGCGGCUUUGUAAGUUAGAGGUGAAAGCCCGGGGCUCAACCCCGGAAUUGCCUUUAAGACUGCAUCGCUUGAAUCCGGGAGAGGUGAGUGGAAUUCCGAGUGUAGAGGUGAAAUUCGUAGAUAUUCGGAAGAACACCAGUGGCGAAGGCGGCUCACUGGACCGGCAUUGACGCUGAGGUGCGAAAGCGUGGGGAGCAAACAGG